GGACUACUCGGGUUUCUAAUCCCGUUCGCUCCCCUGGCUUUCGCACAUGAGCGUCAGUUACGAGCCAGAACGCUGCCUUCGCCUUUGGUGUUCUUCCAGAUCUCUACGCAUUUCACCGCUCCACCUGGAAUUCCGCGUCCCUCUCUCGUCCUCAAGUCUGGUAGUUUUCCGAGGCCUGUGGCAGUUAAGCCACCACCUGUCACUCGAAACUUACAAGACCGCCUGCGUGCGCUUUACGCCCAAUAAAUCCGGACAGCGCUUGCCCCCUACGUAUUACCGCGGCGGCUGGCAC
Molecule: ribosomal RNA, 292 nt
Filed under: uncultured bacterium
Lineage: Bacteria
Description: partial 16S ribosomal RNA
Source: RNAcentral